Molecule: non-coding RNA, 3482 nt
Organism: Macaca mulatta (Rhesus monkey)
Lineage: Eukaryota; Metazoa; Chordata; Mammalia; Primates; Cercopithecidae
Source: RefSeq, a predicted model, not a curated record
ACAAGCAGGGUCUUUACACAGAAUUCCCGGGCGAACAGGACGGAGGUGAAACAGAAGUUAUGCUUGCCAACAGCCCCAUCUCUCAUCUCAGGAGAGACGAGGCCAACGAAACAACCACUAGCAACUGCUUGGGAAAUAUCUGAAAUAUGAGCAUGCGGAAAACAACAUGUUUAACGGAAAAUGAGCAAAUCUACUCACUGCAUAUGCAGCAGCUAAUUAUGAGAAAAAUUAGGAGACAGUUCUGUUCGUUCACACGACUCCUUCUCAACCACAAUGGAAAAUGAUACCCUUCUUUUAAAAAGUGAAAGUCUCCUUAGAAUAGCAACAUUUGCGCCAGGCACAGUGGCUCACGCCUGUAAUCCCAGCACUCUGGGAGGCUGAGGCGGGCGGAUCACCUGAGGUCAGCAGUUCGAGAGCAGCCUGACCAACAUGGUGAAUGAAACCCUGUCUCUACUAAAAAUACAAAAAAUUAGUCAGGCGCGGUAGCAGGCGCCUCUAAUCCCAGCUACUUGGGAGACUGAGGCAGACGAAUGGCUUGAACCCAGGAGGUAGAGGUUGCAGUGAGCUGAGAUCGUGCCACUGCACUCCAGCCUGGGCAGUAGAGAGCAAGACUCCGUCUCAAACCAAAAAAAAGAAAAGAAAAAAAUAGCAACAUUUGGAAUGCCUGUAACCAUUGGCUUACAUUCUCCAUCUUCUCAGUGGCCUCCAAGGUCCUCAUGAGCCGCACUGACUUGUUAUCACUGGGGCAGCUACAGCCUGGCACUGGGCCUGAUACCCAGCAGCACGGGACAGAUGUGUGGAUUAACUUAAAAAAUCAGCUAGAGGCUUGCUGCCCGCCUGAUGAACUGGGGGUUCUGUGGGAAGUGAGACAGACAGUUACCCUUCCCCCCUGCAUGAACAAAAUCCUGAGCCUUGUCCUCCCGUGGGGGCCCUCAAAGUCCAGUCAGCCGUGCUUUGCUGUGGUCAUUGGGGUGGGGCUGGGGAGGCCCCACUAAAGCCAUGCCUUUAUCCAGCGAUCCCUUCCUGGUCCCCAAAUCUGCAGUCUAGCAGAUGCCUACUGCUUUCUAUUGCUUUCCAACCCUAGUGUCAUGUUCUGGACCACUGGAUGGUCAUGGCAUGUUGGCCUAGCCUGUUCCUUCAAAACCCACUCCCCUUCCACAGGCAUCUGCAUCUAGCCAUUGGUAUCUAGAUGCAGAAACUGAGCACCAAGGCUGUAGGUCUCACUGAAAGAGCCAGGAGCAGCGUUCUCUUCUGGUUGGCAGAAGGGGCUUUGGGCAUCUCUUUAGAGUGGCUCAUAUUCACCAACCCCAGUGUCAGGUGCCUAACAUGCUUCUGUGAGGGCCUCAGCCAUGUUCCAUUCCAGAAUUUGCUCUGAAAGCUCUCUGGGUCUGGAAGCCUGCAAUUUCAUUUUUCGGCAUGCCUUGGUCUAUUCAGUACCACCCUGCGCAAACGUCCCUCUGACACAGGGUAACGAAUGGGCUAAUUUUGGAAAGGGGAAAUCUGGGGUCCAGAGAAGAUGAAGACUGAAGUAUAGAGGUUAGCAUAAAAUUAAAGGUCAGUCAGAAAAGAGAAAACUGCUCUGAAAAUAUAAUGGAUAAAUAUCAGUCUUCAGCAAAGUUCAAUUUGAACAAGAAUUGUAGGUUGCACUGGCAGAAUUGUAACUAGAAAAUCCACAAAUGCCCAGUCGGACUGCGAAUGCAUUGUCAGGCCUGCUUUUUAUGAUGUCACAAUGAAUGACUCCAGAUGACAGACAGUGUAGAUUCAGUUAAAACAUAAAGUACCUGGCAGACUAUUUCCGGAGGUUACAGUUUUGUUAUUUAAAAAAAAAAAAAAAAAAUACACAAAUAAUGGGUCUGGAAGAGGAAGCAUGAUAAAUUUGAGGACUUAGAAGUGAUGCUAAAUUUGGACAUUUGAAGAAGGGGCACAGGAAAGCAAUUCAAAGGCACUUGAGUUAUCAACGUGCACAGAGGAAAUUAAGUAGGAGGCAUUUUGGAAAGGCACCCACUGAUAGCGACCUGGAUGGAAGCCCUUGAAGUCACAGUUCCUCCACAGCACGGGCUUUGAACUCCUGUGCUUGGGUCUGGCUUCCACAAAGAUGAGCUCAGAAUGGAAAAAUUAAAAAAAAAAAAAAAAAAAAAAGAAGUUGGAAGCCAUCGCCACUACAGUGCCAACCUGGCCAGCCACGAGACCAUAAUAUUUUUUAAACUCUGAUGGCUAGAAAUGGACACAAAUUGCUCUUCUGUGGUUGCCAGCAGGUUUCUGAAUCAUCUUUGGGUUAGGGCUUCAGCAGACUUUUGAUUUUGCAAGGUCUAGUCAAGAACUUUUAUACACGCAAGGACCAACCUUCAAUCCAAAAGCUACUCUACAUCACCUAAGUGAAUCGGCCAGUCUCAGCAACAUGGACAAGAGGCCAGAUCUGUCAAGAACUCUGUCAUCUGUAUGAAAACAUCCCAGGGCUACACAAAGCCACUUAUCUGAGCCCUUCACUCAGGACGGAAAGAAAGGCAGCUUGCAGAUCUGAUUAUGCCACAGUCCUCAGGAACCUGUUACCACACAAGGGGCUAGAAAGUCCUAAGCGAGUUGUGGAUGAGGUUGGCAGCCACACUGCCCACACAGAAUUCUAAAGGGGUUCUCCUGCCUCCCACCGUGGGACUCAACUCUGAUCCAGCCCCUCAAAUUUGAGGGAGACCCCACAUAACCUACAUGGUCCAUCUGCGGGGAUUCCACAGCCCUGUCUUUACUUCAUUAGAAACCGACCGUUCUGCUUUUCAACAGUUGCUACAAUGGGGGAAAGAAUAAAUUGAACUCAUGAGCAUGUAUUAAAUAACCAUAUAUGCCCAGUACUGUAAGACUCUGUACAAGAAACAAAAGAGAUAGGAGACAAGGUACAAUCUCAGUACCUUGAAAUCCAGGUUGGAAGAUACGGAUAUACUCAGCACAAAACUAAAUGAAAAACAAACAAACAAACAAAAAAACAAGCACCAGUUUGUGUGGUAGUCAUUAAGGUUAUCUGAACCCUCAGCCAACUCACCCAUAAGCUCCCUCUUCCAGCUCCAUGCUGGAAAAUGGUGGUCAAGAAAGUGAAGGCCUUGACAGUAGUCGACUGAAGUGUGAGUUCUAAAGCGCAAGGCGAAACAGAAACAGCUUCCAGCUCCUUCUUCAUUGUGACUUUUCCCCCUGAGCCUGGCUCCAUCAGUGCUAACUCCUCUGGCCCCUCGCUGGAGAAACAAUCUGACUUGGCAACUUAAACCUGCUUUCACUACGCUGGGCAAAAAUGAGGGCUCUCACCUUUGCUUUUCUCCAAUAAUGUGUUAAGUGCUCUGACUCUAAAAACAAAAUCCUUCCGAUUUUUGCCUGAAAACUGUCAACCGACAAGGAAGGUCCUUUCUCUGCAAGGGUGACCUUUAACCAUGGGAGGCGAGUUCAUUCCCAUCAGACUUGCCCAUUUGGUGUGUUUGUUUCUCUUAAAGAAAGGUCCUUGA